RNAcentral lists this ribosomal RNA (726 nucleotides) under uncultured marine eukaryote. Its description in RNAcentral is "SSU rRNA". It matches the Rfam family "Eukaryotic small subunit ribosomal RNA", at positions 452 to 1185 of the family's 1831-position model. The record is from RNAcentral.
CGAUUCGGGGAGGUAGUGACAAUAAAUAACGUUGCAGGUGCCUUUGGCCUCUGCAGUCGGAAUGAGUACAAUACAACACCCUUAACGAGGAACAAUUGGAGGGCAAGUCUGGUGCCAGCAGCCGCGGUAAUUCCAGCUCCAAUAGCGUAUAUUAAAAUUGCUGCAGUUAAAAAGCUCGUAGUUGAACUUCGGAACCGGUCGAUUGGUCCGUCCUCUGGAUUGUGUACUGAUCGAUCUGUUCUUCUUCGCGAAGACCGCGUGUGCCCUUAACUGGGUGUACACGGGAUUCACGACGUUUACUUUGAAAAAAUUAGAGUGUUCAAAGCAGGCAUUCGCUUGAAUAUCUCAGCAUGGAAUAAUAGAAUAGGACUUUGGUCUUAUUUUGUUGGUUUCCGAGACCGAAGUAAUGAUUAAUAGGGACAGUUGGGGGCAUUCGUAUUUCAUUGUCAGAGGUGAAAUUCUUGGAUUUAUGAAAGACGAACUUCUGCGAAAGCAUUUGCCAAGGAUGUUUUCAUUAGUCAAGAACGAAAGUUGGAGGCUCGAAGACGAUCAGAUACCGUCCUAGUUCCAACCAUAAACGAUGCCGUCUGCGGAUCAGCGGUCGCUCAUUUAAGGCUCCGUUGGCACGCUAUGAGAAAUCAAAGACUUCGGGUUCCGGGGGGAGUAUGUUCGCAAGAAUGAAACUUAAAGGAAUUGACGGAAGGGCACCACCAGGAGUGGAACCUG